UCGAGAAUCAUUCGCAAUGGGCGCAAGCCUGACGAUGCGACGCCGUGUGGACGAUGAAGGCCUUCGGGUUGUAAAGUCCUUUCGCUUGGGAACAAGAGAGGUCGGCAAAUAACCGGCCAAUUUGAGGGUACCAGGUAAAGAAGCACCGGCUAACUCCGUGCCAGCAGCUGCGGUAAUACGGAGGGUGCAAGCAUUAAUCGGAUUUAUUGGGCGUAAAGGGCGCGUAGGCGGAUAAGAAAGUCAGAUGUGAAAUUUCAGGGCUCACCCCUGAAACUGCAUUUGAAACUUCUCAUCUAGAGGAUAGGCGGAGAAAACGGAAUUCCACGUGUAGCGGUGAAAUGCGUAGAUAUGUGGAAGAACACCGGUGGCGAAGGCGGUUUUCUAGCUUAUUCCUGACGCUGAGGCGCGAAAGCAAGGGGAGCAAACAGGAUUAGAUACCCCCGUAGUCC
This 449-nucleotide ribosomal RNA is filed under the name uncultured bacterium. Its description in RNAcentral is "bacterial SSU rRNA". It matches the Rfam family "Bacterial small subunit ribosomal RNA", at positions 355 to 796 of the family's 1533-position model. The record is from RNAcentral.